This 699-nucleotide long non-coding RNA is filed under the name Phasianus colchicus (ring-necked pheasant). Its description in RNAcentral is "lncRNA (ENSPCLG00000021332.1)". Lineage: Eukaryota; Metazoa; Chordata; Aves; Galliformes; Phasianidae. The record is from RNAcentral.
GUACUUCCCCACCUCUCCCAAACCUUCAGACCCAUCUUUCAGUCCUCCCUGCACUCCAGCCCCCACCACACAAACAUUUCAGACUUUCUGCUUGAAGCAGGGAGAAGAGGCCAGUGUUCGGCUGUCUGGAUCUGAGAGCGCUUUCAAAUUUGAACAAGGAUCUGGAAAUGAGCAGAUGCUGUUGAUUGCACAGCGAUGACUGAAUGGUGGAAAAGGGGUGGAGGAGCACCCAUCUUCCUCACUUUCAGCUUGGCCUGGGUUCACAACAGCGCAGCACAGACAACAUAAUUAAGAUUUUUAGAGGCAAACACUGCUAUGAACAGACUCUGCUCACUCAAAGUAUGGGGAAUUGGGGGAGGAGUGCACAGGGCCUACACAUAUCUGGAAAAAGAAUUGAAGAGAGAUAUCCUGUUUGCUUCUCUGAUGCACUUUGAAAUCCUCAGGGCCCGUGGCUGAAGGCACUUGUUAAUUGGCAUCAUCUUCCAAACACUUUGCUGUAAGUAAUGCUUUCAUAGGAAGUAAAGUACUGCUGUAUGAAGUUCUGCUGUUGUGGCUCAUUCCUGGCGUAUGUAACUGGUGGAACUGUGAUUUUUCAAGGAAGGAAAAAUCCUUCCUUAUUUCUAAUCUAAAAAUAUAUAUACAUAUUUAUGACAUUGUAUUUACAAAUAUUAAAGAUUAAAAGAGUAUUUUAUAUCCUGG